GACGGUCCGGUUCACGCCGUCAGCAGACGGCGACCCGGCGCCC
RNAcentral lists this non-coding RNA (43 nucleotides) under unclassified sequences. Its description in RNAcentral is "L31-Actinobacteria ribosomal protein leader". It matches the Rfam family "L31-Actinobacteria ribosomal protein leader". The record is from RNAcentral.